This 326-nucleotide ribosomal RNA is filed under the name uncultured eukaryote. Its description in RNAcentral is "partial 18S ribosomal RNA". It matches the Rfam family "Eukaryotic small subunit ribosomal RNA", at positions 1470 to 1796 of the family's 1831-position model. The record is from RNAcentral.
CCCUUAGAUGUUCUGGGCCGCACGCGCGCUACACUGAUGCAUUCAACGAGCCUAGCCUUGACCGAGAGGUCCGGGUAAUCUUUGAAACUGCAUCGUGAUGGGGCUAGAUUAUUGCAAUUAUUAAUCUUCAACGAGGAAUGCCUAGUAAGCGUGAUUCAUCAAAUCGCGUUGAUUACGUCCCUGCCCUUUGUACACACCGCCCGUCGCUCCUACCGAUUAAGUGUGUUGGUGAGGAGUUUGGAUUGGCCUCGGAAGGUGGUUCGCCACCGUCCGUAGCUGAGAAGUUCUCCAAACCGCCCCACUUAGAGGAAGGAGAAGUCGUAACA